UGCCAGCCGCCGCGGUAAUACGGAGGGUGCGAGCGUUAAUCGGAAUUACUGGGCGUAAAGCGAGUGUAGGUGGUCCGGCAAGUCGAUUGUGAAAUCUCCCGGCUCAACCGGGAGGGUGCGGUCGAAACUGUCGGACUCGAGUUCGAGAGGGGAGAGUGGAAUUCCUGGUGUAGCGGUGAAAUGCGUAGAUAUCAGGAGGAACAUCGGUGGUGAGGACGGCUCUCUGGAUCGUGACUGACACUGAGACUCGAAAGCGUGGGGAGCAAACAGGAUUAGAUA
RNAcentral lists this ribosomal RNA (279 nucleotides) under uncultured bacterium. RNAcentral's name for it is "partial 16S ribosomal RNA". It matches the Rfam family "Bacterial small subunit ribosomal RNA", at positions 506 to 784 of the family's 1533-position model. The record is from RNAcentral.